GACUGCUCCUGUGGGCUAAGUGGUUAGAGCAUCUGCCUUAUAUGCAGGAGGUUGUUGGUUCAAACCCUGGCUGAGUCG
Potamilus streckersoni is the source of this 78-nucleotide non-coding RNA. The record is from the annotation of a GenBank genome assembly. NCBI's taxonomy places the organism in Eukaryota, Metazoa, Mollusca, Bivalvia, Unionida, Unionidae.